UAGGAAAACCCAAGUAAUCUAGUUCUUAUUUAGACUAUUGAGGUUUUUUCUUUUCUAUAUUCUAUUUAUCUAACGUCAAUCUCUCUGGUAUCCCUCUAGAGAAAACCAAAUUUUAUAUAAAUUAAAUUAUUCAGAAUUACAAAGUGGAAAUGUAAGAUUGAGUUGGAAUAUCAAAUUACCAGAUGAGUGCUAAAUUGUGGUUUUUCUGGUGAUAUCCUUUGUGAACAGAUUGUAGAAAUUAUAUUUGGUUGUGCUAGUCGAUGCUUCUGAUAUGAUCCCAUCUAUUUCCCUUUUUUCUUUUGAUAACCGGCUUUUCUAUUUAUUUAUUUCCACAGUUCUUUCACUGUCAAGUUCGAUAAGAACGGAACAAAUUCAUGGAACAACAGGAAUUAGCAAGUAUACAACUGAGCAUUGCAGGUGCACAACCAUACAUUGUCUUAGAUAACAAUGAGUGAGAUUCUCUGCAAUCAUGGGGUUUGUGCGUAAACAGAAUAAUGCAACUGCAGAUGUAAGGGUUGAAAUGAUUCACGGACUGGCAUCAUGGGGUUUGUGCGCUGUGGUAACAAGUUUGUAUUAGCCAAUUGAGUUGGGAGAACUGGACGACAAGUUGUUAUUGUUAUUAGUUUUGAAGUUACAUUUGGGGUGUAUUUUCUGUUUGUAGGGAUUUUUAUAUUAGACAUCAUGCCAAUGUAAAAGUUACGAACAAACAAUAUUAUCUACUAUGAAAUUUAGAGA
This is a non-coding RNA of Malus domestica (apple), 735 nucleotides long. NCBI's taxonomy places the organism in Eukaryota, Viridiplantae, Streptophyta, Magnoliopsida, Rosales, Rosaceae. The record is from RefSeq and is a predicted model, not a curated record.